Molecule: non-coding RNA, 728 nt
Filed under: Leptynoptera sulfurea
Lineage: Eukaryota; Metazoa; Arthropoda; Insecta; Hemiptera; Triozidae
Source: RNAcentral
AUAUAUUAUAUUUUGGUAUGUAAAAUAUCUUUAGUAUUUUUUUUAUAUGUAAAUUAUUUUUAAUAUAGAAAUAACAGUAAAUAAAGUUAAAUAAAAAAGAAAUUUUGUUUUAUAAAUUUACUUUAAAAUUAACAUAUUUUGUGCCAGCAGUUGCGGUUACACAAUUAAUGUAAAGAUAUUUUAUAUGGUAUAUUAAAUAUUUUAUUUAUAUGAAUUUAAGUAUUUAAUUUUAAGGUAAAAUUUUAAUUAAACUAAUAAUUCUUUAUUAAUAUUUUGAGAAAUUAAUUUUAAAACCAGGAUUAGAUACCCUGCUAUUUUUAUGUAAAUUUUCUGGAGUAGUAAUAGUUAAGAUCUUGAAACUUAAAAAAUUUGGCGGUAUUUUAUCUUAUUAGAGGAACCUGUUUUUUAAUUGAUAAUCCACAACUAUUAUUUACUUUAAUUAUAAUAUUUGUAUACCGCUGUCAUGAAUAUACUAUGAAGUUAAUUUUCAUUUAUUUUUAUUAAAUUUAUGUUAAGUCAAGGUGCAAUUUAUUAAAGUUUAAAAUGGGUUACAAUAAAAUUUAUGAAUGGAUAAAUAAUUUUUUGUUUGAAUAAAAUAGGAUUUAAAAGUAAAUUUAUUAUAGAAAUAAUAUGAAUUUAGACUCUAAAAUAUGUACAUAUUGCCCGUCACUCUUAUAUAAGAUAAGAUAAGUCGUAACAUAGUAGAUGUACCGGAAGGUGUAUCUGGA